RNAcentral lists this ribosomal RNA (572 nucleotides) under uncultured Glomeromycotina. RNAcentral describes it as "SSU rRNA". It matches the Rfam family "Eukaryotic small subunit ribosomal RNA", at positions 548 to 1114 of the family's 1831-position model. Lineage: Eukaryota; Fungi; Glomeromycota. The record is from RNAcentral.
UUGGAGGGCAAGUCUGGUGCCAGCAGCCGCGGUAAUUCCAGCUCCAAUAGCGUAUAUUAAAGUUGUUGCAGUUAAAAAGCUCGUAGUUGAAUUUCGGGAUUGACGUGAUGGUCAUGCCUUAAGGGGUAUGAACUGUUGCUGUUGAUUUCUCACCUUCUGGAGAAACUUGAUGUCCUUAAUUGGGUGUCUUGCGGAUCCAGGACCUUUACCUUGAAAAAAUUAGAGUGUUUAAAGCAGGCAUUUUUGCUCGAAUACAUUAGCAUGGAAUAAUAGAAUAGGACGGCAUGGUUCUAUUUUGUUGGUUUCUAGGAUCACCGUAAUGAUUAAUAGGGAUAGUUGGGGGCAUUAGUAUUCAAUCGUCAGAGGUGAAAUUCUUGGACUUAUUGAAGACUAACUACUGCGAAAGCAUUUGCCAACGAUGUUUUCAUUAAUCAAGAACGAAAGUUAGGGGAUCGAAGACGAUCAGAUACCGUCGUAGUCUUAACCAUAAACUAUGCCGACUAGGAAUCAGACGAUGUUAAUUUUUUAAUGACUCGUUUGGCACCUUACGGGAAACCAAAGUGUUUGGGUUC